UACGUAGGGUGCAAGCGUUGUCCGGAAUUAUUGGGCGUAAAGAGCUCGUAGGCGGUCUGUCGCGUCUGCUGUGAAAACUCGGGGCUUAACCCCGGGCCUGCAGUGGGUACGGGCAGACUAGAGUGCGGUAGGGGAGACUGGAAUUCCUGGUGUAGCAGUGAAAUGCGUAGAUAUCAGGAGGAACACCGAUGGCGAAGGCAGGUCUCUGGGCUGACACUGACGCUCAUGCACGAAAGCGUGGGGAGCAAACAGG
RNAcentral lists this ribosomal RNA (253 nucleotides) under uncultured bacterium. Its description in RNAcentral is "partial 16S ribosomal RNA". It matches the Rfam family "Bacterial small subunit ribosomal RNA", at positions 524 to 776 of the family's 1533-position model. The record is from RNAcentral.